UCAGGAUGAACGCUAGCUACAGGCUAACACAUGCAAGUCGAGGGCAGCAGUGGGAUUAGCUGCUAAUCCUGAUGGCGACCGGCGCACGGGUGAGUAACGCGUAUCCAACCUUCCCCUUACUCAGGGAUAGCCCGGUGAAAACCGGAUUAACACCUGAUGGUUUCAUUAGAUGGCAUCUGACGAUGAAUAAAGGCUUACGGUAAGGGAUGGGGAUGCGUCUGAUUAGCUUGUUGGCGGGGUAACGGCCCACCAAGGCUACGAUCAGUAGGGGUUCUGAGAGGAAGGUCCCCCACAUUGGAACUGAGAUACGGUCCAAACUCCUACGGGAGGCAGCAGUGAGGAAUAUUGGUCAAUGGGCGAGAGCCUGAACCAGCCAAGUAGCGUGCAGGAUGACGGCCCUAUGGGUUGUAAACUGCUUUUGUACGGGAAUAAAGUCAUCCACGUGUGGAUGUUUGCAUGUACCGUAAGAAUAAGGACCGGCUAAUUCCGUGCCAGCCGCUGC
This 502-nucleotide ribosomal RNA is filed under the name uncultured bacterium. RNAcentral's name for it is "bacterial SSU rRNA". It matches the Rfam family "Bacterial small subunit ribosomal RNA", at positions 24 to 518 of the family's 1533-position model. The record is from RNAcentral.